GGGCGUCCAAGCUGAGGGCCGUCCGGCGGGGAGGUCCCAGGCCCUGGUGUUCAGAUGCUCCUCCUGCCCCAGGUCCCCUGGGAAACUGUCCACUCCGCACCCUAAGCCUUUCCCCAAGAUGCAUGUUAGCCAGCGGGCGCGCCACCCAUCCCCCUGCUUCUGCCCACUGGGGCUGGCAGGAGCAGGCACUGGUUCAGGAACUGCAGCAAGCACUCCAGCCUCUGUGCCGGGCACAAGCAGGGUCUAGGAAGGAGGCCAAAUCGGUGUUCGGAUCACACUGACGGCGGCUGCGGGCGUCGGAGUCGUCAUUCCUCGGUCCAGGACUUGCGUGGGUGGCGUGGUGGGGGGAGCUGGCCGGCCAGUCCUCAGCCCUGCGCCCCGUGCACCCUGCGGGGCCUCCGAGGCCCGGUUCCCGCUCGGCACAAGGCGCGGGGCGUUGCUCCGAGGGAUGCGGGGCACUGACCGGCCACGCAUGGCCUGCAGCUGAGGGUGAAUCAGGACGAGCCCACGGAUGACGACGCCCCUCGGGCCGGGAACAGCGGAGCGGAGGACGGCGGGGCGGAGGCGCAGAGCAGCAAGGACCAGAUGCGGACCAACGUCAUCAACGAGAUCCUCAGCACUGAGCGGGACUACAUCAAGCACCUGCGCGACAUCUGCGAGGUGAGGCCCGGCCGGCGGGCGGUGACUGGGGACCCGGUCGGGGGAGGCCUAACCACGUCCGCCCGCAGGGCUACGUCCGGCAGUGCCGCAAGCGCGCAGACAUGUUCAGCGAGGAGCAGCUGCGUACCAUCUUCGGGAACAUCGAGGACAUCUACCGCUGCCAGAAGGCCUUCGUGAAGGCCCUGGAGCAGAGGUUCAACCGCGAGCGCCCACACCUGAGCGAGCUGGGUGCCUGCUUCCUGGAGCAUCAAGCCGACUUCCAGAUCUACUCGGAGUACUGCAAUAACCACCCCAACGCCUGCGUGGAGCUCUCCCGGCUCACCAAGCUCAGCAAGUACGUGUACUUCUUCGAGGCCUGCCGGCUGCUGCAGAAGAUGAUUGACAUCUCCCUGGAUGGCUUCCUGCUGACUCCGGUGCAGAAGAUCUGCAAGUACCCUCUGCAGCUGGCCGAGCUGCUCAAAUACACGCACCCCCAGCACAGGUAGGAGGGCACUGAGGCAGGGAGGCAGCCCACGCCUCUGCAUGCCUCCAGUCAGCCAGUUUGAGCAUUAGCAGUGUGCUGGGCACUGCUGCAGGCCCUGGGGCAACACACAGAAAACUAGCCCUGUCCUGAUGAGCUCCUUGCAAUGGGGGAAGAGGAUGCCAACAGGAUAUUAAGCUCUGCUCUGUGCUUGCCAUUUAUGGAGAAGAGAGGGGCUGUGCAUCUGAUAGUGAGGAUGUGGUCAAAGGGCACAGCCCCAGAGGAAAGCAGCUCCACACGUGGGGGCUGCAGGGGAUCCUCACCCUUUCUCUGUCUCCAGCCUGCAGCAGCCUUCCAUCUCUGUUCUGCCCCAGGGACUUCAAGGAUGUUGAAGCCGCCUUGCAUGCCAUGAAGAACGUGGCCCAGCUCAUCAACGAGCGGAAGCGGAGACUUGAGAACAUCGACAAGAUUGCUCAGUGGCAGAGCUCCAUAGAGGACUGGGAGGGAGAAGAUCUCUUGGUCAGGAGCUCAGAACUCAUCUACUCCGGGGAGCUGACUCGAGUUACACAGCCUCAAGCCAAAAGCCAGCAGCGAAUGUUCUUUCUCUUUGACCACCAGCUCAUCUACUGUAAGAAGGACCUGCUCCGCCGCGACGUGUUGUACUACAAGGGCCGGCUGGACAUGGACGGCCUGGAGGUGGUGGACCUGGAGGACGGGAAGGACAGAGACCUCCAUGUGAGCAUCAAGAACGCCUUCCGGCUGCACUGUGGCGCCACAGGGGACAGCCACCUGCUGUGCACCAGGAAGCCCGAGCAGAAGCAGCGCUGGCUCAAGGCCUUUGCCAGGGAGAGGGAGCAGGUGCAGCUGGACCAGGAGACAGGCUUCUCCAUCACUGAACUGCAGAGGAAGCAGGCCAUGCUGAAUGCCAGCAAGCAGCAGGUCACAGGGAAGCCCAAAGCUGUUGGCCGGCCCUGCUACCUGACGCGCCAGAAGCACCCAGCCCUGCCCAGCAGCCGGCCCCAGCAGCAGGUCCUGGUGCUGGCGGAGCCCAGGCGCAAGCCAUCUACCUUCUGGCACAGCAUCAGCCGGCUGGCACCCUUCCGCAAGUGAACUGGUCCCUACCUGACAGCACCUGCUGGGCCUUCCUGCCAGUGGCCCCCAGUUUUUCUUCCCCGAGGCCCACUCGGCCUGGCCUUCCUCUGCCUGCAAGUGAGCAGGGAUGGGCUGGGGAGUUGCUUGUGCCACCAAGACGUGCCAGGUCUGUACUCCUGUUGUCUUUUUCCCUGCUCCUGGUGCCCUGAAGAGACCAGCAAGGGGGCAGACCCCGCACUUGCCACACCCCCGCUGCAGCUUGGGCCCCAUCCGCCCUCUGGACCUGUGUAGGGCCUCACUGCUGGAGCGGGGAAACCGCAGCUCAGCCCAGGCCCAGCUGGGGAGAAGGCGCUACCUGCGUGGGACCCUCUUCUCUGGAAACCUAAUCCUCCUUUCAUUUCCUCUGGGCAGGACUCUCUGGCCUUCUGUGGCCUGCAAUGCCAGGCCAUGUGCCCCUCUGCCCUCUAGUUCUCCAAGUCCCCAGCCCGGCCAGUGGUGCCAGGCAGCUUGCCACUUGGGAGGGCAGAAACCAGGAAUUCCACACCCUUGUGUUGCGCCCGGAGCCCGCCCUUCGCCUCCCAGCCCCUCUAGACACCGCUGGCUGCUGGACACCCUCUUCACUUGUGUGUGUGUGUGUAGCGGAAAAGGACAAGACGGUGCAGUCGGCUGCAUACUCCCAGUCGGGAGUGUGGUCAGUCUGCCUGCUGCUGUGCGGUAGCUCCAGAACCACCUCGUUCCUGGUUUUGUUUGGAUUUUGGCAUCUUGUUUUUCUAACAAACAAACAAACAAACAAUGGAGAAAAAGAACUGAUUCUUAGUGACACAGAAGAUUGCCUUACGCUCGUGAGCGUGAGAAGCCAUAAGAGACCGAAUUCUGUGGCUCAGCACACAGGACUGACCCACAGCCCAGGCAGCGGGUGUGUGGAGAUGGCGCCCCGUCCUGCCAAGGGGCGCCAGGAGCAAAGCCUGGGCCUGGCGAGCUGGCGUGGAGCCCACAGGAUUCAGCAGCAUGGACAGUCACUCUUGCACUAUUCCUUCUCCAAGCCAGAAACCACAUUUAAUUUCAUAAAUAAAUUUAUGAAAAGUAA
RNAcentral lists this small RNA (3299 nucleotides) under Pan troglodytes (chimpanzee). RNAcentral's name for it is "retained intron". Lineage: Eukaryota; Metazoa; Chordata; Mammalia; Primates; Hominidae. The record is from RNAcentral.